UCCGAAUUGGUGUAGUGGUUAACAUUUCACGCUCUCAAAAGAGCAGCACCGUGGAGCCCGGGGUUCGAUUCCCCGAUUCGGAG
This is a non-coding RNA of Xylariaceae sp. FL1272, 83 nucleotides long. The record is from the annotation of a GenBank genome assembly. Lineage: Eukaryota; Fungi; Ascomycota; Sordariomycetes; Xylariales; Xylariaceae.